AAAUUGAAGAGUUUGAUCAUGGCUCAGAUUGAACGCUGGCGGCAGGCCUAACACAUGCAAGUCGAACGGUAACAGGAAGCAGCUUGCUGCUUUGCUGACGAGUGGCGGACGGGUGAGUAAUGUCUGGGAAACUGCCUGAUGGAGGGGGAUAACUACUGGAAACGGUGGCUAAUACCGCAUAACGUCGCAAGACCAAAGAGGGGGACCUUCGGGCCUCUUGCCAUCAGAUGUGCCCAGAUGGGAUUAGCUAGUUGGUGAGGUAACGGCUCACCAAGGCGACGAUCCCUAGCUGGUCUGAGAGGAUGACCAGCCACACUGGAACUGAGACACGGUCCAGACUCCUACGGGAGGCAGCAGUGGGGAAUAUUGCACAAUGGGCGCAAGCCUGAUGCAGCCAUGCCGCGUGUAUGAAGAAGGCCUUAGGGUUGUAAAGUACUUUCAGCGGGGAGGAAGGUGUUGUGGUUAAUAACCGCAGCAAUUGACGUUACCCGCAGAAGAAGCACCGGCUAACUCCGUGCCAGCAGCCGCGGUAAUACGGAGGGUGCAAGCGUUAAUCGGAAUUACUGGGCGUAAAGCGCACGCAGGCGGUCUGUCAAGUCGGAUGUGAAAUCCCCGGGCUCAACCUGGGAACUGCAUUCGAAACUGGCAGGCUUGAGUCUUGUAGAGGGGGGUAGAAUUCCAGGUGUAGCGGUGAAAUGCGUAGAGAUCUGGAGGAAUACCGGUGGCGAAGGCGGCCCCCUGGACAAAGACUGACGCUCAGGUGCGAAAGCGUGGGGAGCAAACAGGAUUAGAUACCCUGGUAGUCCACGCCGUAAACGAUGUCUACUUGGAGGUUGUGCCCUUGAGGCGUGGCUUCCGGAGCUAACGCGUUAAGUAGACCGCCUGGGGAGUACGGCCGCAAGGUUAAAACUCAAAUGAAUUGACGGGGGCCCGCACAAGCGGUGGAGCAUGUGGUUUAAUUCGAUGCAACGCGAAGAACCUUACCUGGUCUUGACAUCCACAGAACUUUCCAGAGAUGGAUUGGUGCCUUCGGGAACUGUGAGACAGGUGCUGCAUGGCUGUCGUCAGCUCGUGUUGUGAAAUGUUGGGUUAAGUCCCGCAACGAGCGCAACCCUUAUCCUUUGUUGCCAGCGGUUAGGCCGGGAACUCAAAGGAGACUGCCAGUGAUAAACUGGAGGAAGGUGGGGAUGACGUCAAGUCAUCAUGGCCCUUACGACCAGGGCUACACACGUGCUACAAUGGCGCAUACAAAGAGAAGCGACCUCGCGAGAGCAAGCGGACCUCAUAAAGUGCGUCGUAGUCCGGAUUGGAGUCUGCAACUCGACUCCAUGAAGUCGGAAUCGCUAGUAAUCGUGGAUCAGAAUGCCACGGUGAAUACGUUCCCGGGCCUUGUACACACCGCCCGUCACACCAUGGGAGUGGGUUGCAAAAGAAGUAGGUAGCUUAACCUUCGGGAGGGCGCUUACCACUUUGUGAUUCAUGACUGGGGUGAAGUCGUAACAAGGUAACCGUAGGGGAACCUGCGGUUGGAUCACCUCCUUACCUUAAAGAA
This 1552-nucleotide ribosomal RNA is filed under the name Salmonella enterica. Its description in RNAcentral is "bacterial SSU rRNA". It matches the Rfam family "Bacterial small subunit ribosomal RNA". The record is from RNAcentral. Lineage: Bacteria; Pseudomonadati; Pseudomonadota; Gammaproteobacteria; Enterobacterales; Enterobacteriaceae.